Molecule: ribosomal RNA, 253 nt
Filed under: uncultured bacterium
Lineage: Bacteria
Description: partial 16S ribosomal RNA
Rfam family: Bacterial small subunit ribosomal RNA
Source: RNAcentral
UACGUAGGUGGCAAGCGUUGCCCGGAAUUAUUGGGCGUAAAGCGCGCGCAGGCGGCCUUUUAAGUCUGAUGUGAAAUCUUGCGGCUCAACCGCAAGCGGCCAUUGGAAACUGGGAGGCUUGAGUACAGAAGAGGAGAGUGGAAUUCCACGUGUAGCGGUGAAAUGCGUAGAUAUGUGGAGGAACACCAGUGACGAAGGCGACUCUCUGGUCUGUAACUGACGCUGAGGCGCGAAAGCGUGGGGAGCAAACAGG